Symsagittifera roscoffensis is the source of this 410-nucleotide long non-coding RNA. RefSeq lists it as uncharacterized. The record is from RefSeq and is a predicted model, not a curated record. The transcript is spliced from 3 exons. Lineage: Eukaryota; Metazoa; Xenacoelomorpha; Acoela; Convolutidae.
CACAUUAAUGAAAAUCACUGUUUUUAUAUACCAAUUUUUUUUCACUAAAACAUUCAUUUUAGAACCACAGUAGAGAUCAGAAGCAACAUAUUUGACUAAAAGUCUCUUCGAAUUUUAAGAAAAAAUAGAAAGAGAACUGUAUCAACAUGCCGGGUGAAACUCCAAUGACUACAGAUGCGGCCGCAAGAGCCCAGAGCAGCGAGGCCACACAAAGCGGAACCGGCCAAGUGGAAUCGGGAGGAUUCGCCUCCAGGGCGCAAGGAGCUGCUGACAAAAAUGUGAAUCAAGGAAUAACUGAGCACCAGGGAGGCAAAAAGGGAUAAUCGCGAGGACAAAUGGAGUGAACUUUAAUCAUUCAGUGGCUAUGGGCUCAUUAUUCAAUGUAUAUACCUAAAUUCUAAUGAAAAUAU